Molecule: long non-coding RNA, 178 nt
Organism: Mytilus trossulus (common blue mussel)
Lineage: Eukaryota; Metazoa; Mollusca; Bivalvia; Mytilida; Mytilidae
Exons: 3
Source: RefSeq, a predicted model, not a curated record
UCAAUGGCAAUGGUGUUUCUAGUAAAUGGUAUACUGCUCAGUUUAAAUGUUUAGAGACACCAGGGGCCUCUCUUUGGAAGCCAAACAGUGAGGCAGAGGCUGAAGCUGUCAAAUCGAUUUUUAAAAUUGCAGACAACCAAGAUAUAUGGACAGGUGCUUACAAGCCUUUCACUUCCGG